UUUCAGAGCCAUACUUCCUGCUGCGAGGUCAUUAGCAGUGCGUCCAUCCACAGCAAAGUGUUUUGCCACAGGAUGAAAAGCAUCUGGUCCCACCCCUGGAUAUGAUCGACCUUCAUAUACGGUGUAUUAUACAUGUAGCCAUCUCUGCGACCUGCAAAGAUGAAAAGGGAAAGCAGGAGGUGGAAACUGGUCAGGAGCCUUCUGGU
This 206-nucleotide long non-coding RNA is filed under the name Macaca mulatta (Rhesus monkey). RNAcentral's name for it is "lncRNA (ENSMMUG00000060254.1)". The record is from RNAcentral. Lineage: Eukaryota; Metazoa; Chordata; Mammalia; Primates; Cercopithecidae.